CCCUACUUCGCGCUAUCGAAGCCGAAUCCCUGGCGUGUCUCCAAUUAAAGCGGGCACCAUCUCGGACCAGACCACUACCACGCCAGGAACCAGCUUACGUAGCCGAUCCAGAUCCCUCUUCAUCCUCCUCAACAGUUCCCGCUGCGGGAUCAAGCCUAAAUCGUUCCCCCCACCAUGAACCAGAAUUACGUUAGGGACUGACCC
Pelobates cultripes (western spadefoot toad) is the source of this 204-nucleotide non-coding RNA. The record is from the annotation of a GenBank genome assembly. Lineage: Eukaryota; Metazoa; Chordata; Amphibia; Anura; Pelobatidae.